CUGACAGCCUUGGGCAGCAAAGCCUUCUUAUUCAUCAGCAGAAAAUUUCAGCCUGAACAGUGGGAGCAUAAACUUGUCCACUAAUGUACUUCAGCCUUGACCCUGGAGAAACCCCUCCUGGUAGUACCAAGUAAAUCCAUUUUCUGUAGCCACUCAGUUCCUGGUCAGU
Molecule: small RNA, 169 nt
Filed under: Dromaius novaehollandiae (emu)
Lineage: Eukaryota; Metazoa; Chordata; Aves; Casuariiformes; Dromaiidae
Description: TUC338 (ENSDNVG00000005037.1)
Source: RNAcentral